ACGUGGUAUAUGAACUUACCUGCAGUCACUGCGGCGACACCUACAUCGGAGAAACGAGCAGGCCAGUUAGACUCCGCUACAACGAGCAUCGGAGGAACGGCAUUAACAGAGAAGAGGACACUCCCCUAGGAGAGCAUGCGCUGCAUAAGCACCCUGAGAUGGAUCGACGCGACAUCUCGGUGACGGCCAAAAUCCUGCGUGUAUGCAAAGACGAAGCGGAUAGAAGAAUCGCUGAAUCCAUCUUCAUCCGAGACGCCAGGCCCAAAAUUAACGAUAACACUACAUCAUGGCAGCUUCUUCCAAAAUAAUGUAUAUAAAUGUGUGUGAAUUGGUUCUUGAAAGAUACCUAUAUAUGUACUGCUAGUUUAACUGGGGAAUUAUGUGUAGAUAUAUUUUUAAGGUAGGAACUAGGGUGAUCAAUUUGCACGGGAUCUGUGUAUUUAAAUUUCUUACUGCGACAUUACUGAAGAACUUGAGACGAAUUCGACAUUGUGUGCCUGUUAUGUGUGUAAAUAAUUACAAUCGACCGACGAAGAGCUGUGCUCGAAAUAUCUCGAUUUUUAAUACAGUAAUUUAUUUUGGCAAUUUCAUAUUUCCAUACAGAAGUGAGGAUAAGCAGACGUGCUAAUGGCGCAAUAAGAAACGGAGGCAGCAAAGGUCGGACUUAGACGCCGCAUCAGCAGUGACACCAAUGUCCCUGCCUAUCGAACGAACAUCAGUCACCCAGGCCGUGACCUCACCCAACACGGACGAAGCGCCGGUCACUGCGCGUCCAUCCAGCGCUCCCACCGCCGUCUGGCGCCCCAGUGCGGCGUCAUCGCGAUUAACUGGCCGAUGACGCCGGCCGGUGGCUGACGGGGCACCGGCGGGGAACCACGCACGGCGCGAGGGCGGUACGGUUCAGAGUAUAAAACCCCUCCGCCGACCGGGCACAGGCAGAACAGGGACAGCAGCCGAGCACAACACUCACAGUCCGCCUACCCACACCGACAACAUGAACUUCAAGCUGGUGCUUCUGCUCCUGGUGGUUCUGGUCGGCGUCGCCGCCGGGUUCGGGUUCGGCCGCAGGGGCGGCGGAUACUACGGUGGCUCCCGCGGCGGCUACUACGGCGGAUCCCGCGGGUUCGGCCGCGGAGGAUACUACGGUCGCGGCCGCGGCGGCGGAUACGGCUACGGCAGAAGGCACUACGGCUAGUCUCCCCGACCCGACCUACCGAGCUUUGACCGCGCCGCUGGUAUCCGGCGGUGGCGGCGGUGCCCCCUCGCCCUGGGGCGGCAGGGAGACGGCAGUCGCCGGACCGAGGGUGUCCGGUCCGUCAGACUCUGACCGCGCCCGGCCCACCGGUCGGUGAAGUGCCGUGUCCCUGUGUUCGUCCAGUACCCCCUCAGUGAGAGGUCCCGACCUCCGGCCGCCUGAGGCCGUCCGCCUCGCACCUCGGCUGAGAUGGAUCCCCGUCCUCCGAACACUGAUAUGCUUUGAUGCUUAUUAAUGUUGACGGAGAACUUUGUUCAACGCGACUGUCCUUUGCGAUAGAAAUAUACGUAUAAUGCAAACAUAUUUUUGCCUGUAUCCAGUAUUGUAGUUAAUAUUGAAUCUAGGGUACUUUAGGAAACAGCCGCAUUACGAACACCGCAAUUAUUAUCCCGUGCCCUGCUGGGGGGGGGGGGGGGGUCCCAAAAAUCUUAAGAACGGCGGCGUGGAGCGCCACCGUUUUUGGCACACCUUAUCAAACAUCAAUUCUACACAUGUGAAAAUUUCAGACCAAGGUCAUUCAAGGUCAGGUCACCAGGUCACUUGAAGUGACCUCACCUCAUAAAUAGUUCCAAUGUCUGCCAUAGCUACACCGAAAGACCGAUCGCUUUGAAACUUUCAGCGAUUGCUAAGAGCAGUAUGUACAAAAUGUAUAUCUCAGAAUUUUGAUAUCGAUGACCGAAGGUCAGGUCAAUUUUGCAACCUCCCCAUUAUUGGUAAGUCAAUAGGAGAAAACUGAAAUGCGCCGCUUUUGGAUGAAAACCAUUAUAAACACUCCCAAGCACUGAAAUACAAGUAACUUAUACAUACUGACCUUGAAAAUGGUGUCCGUGACCCCUGUUUAUGCCCCUGAGGUCAUCUCAGGUCACGAAUGGUAUCUAACAGUUGUUCGCAAAUAACUUUUGAUAGAUGCAUGCUAGAGCAAUGAAUACGCCUUAAAUGUGUUCAGCUUGACGAUACGGAUCGACUGCUAUGUAACAUGACCUUUUCCGGUCAGGUCAUGACCUUGACCUGAGGUCAAAUUUUCAAGUUGACCUUUCAAGGUCAAAUUAUAGUUCAUUCGAAGCGUAUCGACGAGAAGAACACAAUGCUGGCAAAAGUACCUAAUGUCGUAGCUCUUUUGAGUCAAAAUUAUUGCCGAAAAAACGUUCGUAAAAACGGCUAUUUUUGGAGAUUUUGCCCUCUGGACCUACCGCGCCUUCAAACAGGUUAGACAGUGCCUAAGCUAUCCUAAUGAGCGCGACGACUCUGCAAAAAAAAACGUCAGGAACUAAGUAAAGCGACGUCACUGUUCCAUAGCCCUUGCAAACGCAGGAAUGACAGCGAGGAAGGCCAUUUCGUCGGGCGGAGCACCGUAUAAAACCCGUCUGCGAGCCGGGCAACAGCAGAAAGGACACAGCAGUCGAGCAACCCACUCACCCUACGCUCACUGACGACAACAUGAACUUCAGGCUGGCGCUCGUGCUGCUGGUGGCUCUCGUCGGAGUCGCCGUCGGAACCGGAUCAUACGGACGCAGGACCGGCGGCGGAUACUACCGUGGAAACGUCGGUGGUGGCGGAUACUACCGUGGAAACAGCCGCGGAUACUACCCCGGGAACAGCGGAUACUCCCGUGGAAUCGGCGGCGGAUACCAGGGCGGUCGCCGCAUUGGAUACAGCCAUGGACAGAGGAGCUACGUCGGCUAGUCCCCCGACCGCUGCCGACCCCACCUACCGACCUACCGAGCUCUGACCGCGCCGCUGGUAUCCGGCGGUGCGGCAGGGAAGGGGUGGCCGCCGUGCCCCCUCGCCCUCGGGCGGCACUCACGUGAGACUCACCGCAGCUGAUAUGGAUCCCCGGUCUCUGACAACUGAUCAGUGCCGAAUGGUCGGCGCUUAUUGCUGUUAGAGAAGAACUGUGCUGGAUGUGACUGUGCUUGGAAAUACAAAUAUACGUCUUAUGUACCAGAAAA
Amphibalanus amphitrite is the source of this 3204-nucleotide long non-coding RNA. RefSeq lists it as uncharacterized. NCBI's taxonomy places the organism in Eukaryota, Metazoa, Arthropoda, Thecostraca, Balanomorpha, Balanidae. The record is from RefSeq and is a predicted model, not a curated record. The transcript has 4 exons.